Molecule: transfer RNA, 73 nt
Filed under: Heterocephalus glaber (naked mole-rat)
Lineage: Eukaryota; Metazoa; Chordata; Mammalia; Rodentia; Bathyergidae
Rfam family: tRNA
About the family: Transfer RNA (tRNA) molecules are approximately 80 nucleotides in length. Their secondary structure includes four short double-helical elements and three loops (D, anti-codon, and T loops).
Source: Rfam by way of RNAcentral
GGCGGUAUAGCUUAGUGGUAGAGCAUUUGCCUAGCAUGUGUAAGGCCCUGGGGUUCAAUCCCCAGCACUGUCC